AGGCAUCUCUUGCCACUGAUGCAUGGCCUCCAGUGUCCAGACUCAAAACAGGUCAAGGCGAAAAGCCAAACACACCAAUCCUAAAGCACUUUCAUAACCGCUUUUCAAAAAAAAAAAAAAAAAAAAAACACAAGGCAAUGUGUAUUGUGCAACGGGAAACCCCACAAGAAGUGAACACAUCGCCCCACGACCCCCCGCCUACAUGUGAUGUCUACUUAUAAAAGCUUGAGCGCACUCUGUAUUAAACAGACUGGAAGAUUAGAGUUGUUUUAUUUUUGAUUUUUUUUGCUGAGAAAAAGCUUAGCUUACUCUUUCGUUGUACUGCUUUUGUUUUAACUCGCAUACUAAAACCGUGUAACUUGUACUUGUUUAUAUAAUUGAUAAAUCGUAACCACUGAGCAUCCAGAAGAGAGUCUUCUCUCGUUUUUGACGCGAGCCUCGUCAGGGGUUAGGAUUAUUUUCGAAACGAAGACCUUUUGCCUGACCGCUUUCGGGUCCGCCGAGGAGGAGAAUGCACGUCCCGGCCUGCCCCUCAAGAACGGGAUCUUGUAGCCAGUCUCUCCAGGUUUUCGGAGAUUCCUGAGGAUGUGGUCUGAGUGCACAUUGAUGACCCACCCAACCAACCAAAGGAUGCCACCUGCAAAAAAAAAAACACACCAAACAGUGGAUGAAAAAGUGUACAAAUUCUGUGCCUUAAAACAAAUACUGUGCCCGACCUAUGUGUAAGGAAAGCAAAGCCUAAGAUAUCACAAGGCAUCAAGAAAAUGAACAUUUUCUAUCCACAAACCCAGAACUCCUGCACUAUAAGUUCUCAUUUUAAUAAAUGUACUCUGAUUUGUACAAA
This is a long non-coding RNA of Clupea harengus (Atlantic herring), 844 nucleotides long. RefSeq lists it as uncharacterized. The record is from RefSeq and is a predicted model, not a curated record. Lineage: Eukaryota; Metazoa; Chordata; Actinopteri; Clupeiformes; Clupeidae. The transcript is spliced from 2 exons.